This is a small nucleolar RNA of Lathyrus oleraceus (garden pea), 107 nucleotides long. The record is from RefSeq and is a predicted model, not a curated record. Lineage: Eukaryota; Viridiplantae; Streptophyta; Magnoliopsida; Fabales; Fabaceae.
AAGCCCGUGAAAUGGUCACAGUCUCAAUAAUUCCUUAUAACUCUCCCAUGUGUCAAACAAAGAUUCACUUUCUUCCUGUCUAAAACUGUUAAUCUCAUUUUUUACUU